CCUACGGGAGGCUGCAGUGAGGAAUAUUUGUCAAUGGGCGAGAGCCUGAACCAGCCAAGUAGCGUGAGGGAGUACUGACCUAUGGGUUGUAAACCUCUUUUGUCGGGGAGCAAAAGCCGGACGUGUCCGGCUGUGAGAGUACCCGAAGAAAAAGCAUCGGCUAACUCCGUGCCAGCAGCCGCGGUCAUACGGAGGAUGCGAGCGUUAUCCGGCUUUACUGGGUGUAAAGGGAGCGUAGACGGUUGUGCAAGUCUGAAGUGAAAGCCCGCGGCUCAACUGCGGAACGGCUUUGGAAACUGUGUAACUGGAGUGCUGGAGAGGUAAGCGGAAUUCCGGGUGUAGCGGUGAAAUGCGUAGAGAGCAGGAGGAACACCGGCGGCGAAGGCGGCUUACUGGACAGUAACUGACGUUGAGGCUCGAAAGCGUGGGGAGCAAACAGGAUUAGAUACCCGAGUAGUC
Molecule: ribosomal RNA, 459 nt
Filed under: uncultured bacterium
Lineage: Bacteria
Description: partial 16S ribosomal RNA
Rfam family: Bacterial small subunit ribosomal RNA
Source: RNAcentral